AAAUGUUUUUGUCUACGUAUGUUUACAGCGGCUCCUAUUUGAGUUAGUCGUCAGUUGUUCCUGUAGCUUCGAUCAUUAUACGGUUAAGUUUUAUCUAUGUUUAUAGCGGAUCCUUUUUUAGUCAUUAAUUGUACAUGUGGCUCCGCUAAUUCUACGGUUAAGUUUUAUCUAACGUUUAAACAUUUGACCCAUGACUUAAAACGACAUUGAGGGAGAGUAUGAGCGUAGAGCAGGGGUGUGUCGUUAUCGCUUCUCGGCCUUUUGGCUAAGAUCAAGUGUAGUAUCUGUUCUUAUCAGUUUAAUAUCUGAUACGUCCCCUACCCGGGGACCAUAUAUUAAAUUGAUUUUUGGAUCUGGGAGAUGGAAUAGGGGCUUGCUCCGUCCACUCCGCGUAUCGACCUGGUAUUGCAGUACCUCCAGGAACGGUGCACCCCCUAAAAUUGUGAAAUAUAAGUAUCCAACUGAGUUGUUUCAGCAAUAGUGACGUUGUUAACCUAUAACAGGUCAGAAAAAAUUUCACUAUCCGCUCGUUCUAAUGAAUAUAAGUGUUUUGUCUGUGUAGUUGAUGUAGAACACGAGACUGUACUCUGCUUAUUAAAAGUGUGGCUCUUUUAAUCCUCCAUAAUAAUAAUCCUCCUUUUUUCCAUUUUAAACAUACUACGUUCUCUGUAUAUAUAUGUGUGUGUGUGUGUGUGUGUGUGUGUGUGUGAAGAGAGUGAACGCUAGGUUGUACAGAUGCAGUCAGAAAGUCGCCGCUUUUGGUUCUGUUACAUUGGAUUUGAUCCGUUACCUUGUCUUGCCUAGGGGACUAUUGGCUACAGGACUUUCA
Cynoglossus semilaevis (tongue sole) is the source of this 829-nucleotide long non-coding RNA. RefSeq lists it as uncharacterized. NCBI's taxonomy places the organism in Eukaryota, Metazoa, Chordata, Actinopteri, Pleuronectiformes, Cynoglossidae. The transcript is spliced from 3 exons. The record is from RefSeq and is a predicted model, not a curated record.